Tupaia belangeri chinensis (Chinese tree shrew) is the source of this 432-nucleotide non-coding RNA. The record is from the annotation of a RefSeq genome assembly. NCBI's taxonomy places the organism in Eukaryota, Metazoa, Chordata, Mammalia, Scandentia, Tupaiidae.
AUGGCCUGGACUCCUCUCCUCCUCAUGCUCCUUUCUCACUGCCUGGGUUCCCUUUUCCAGCCUGUGCUGACUCAGCUGCCCUCCCUCUCUGCAUCUCCUGGAGCAUCUGUCAGACUCACCUGUACCCUGAAGAGUGACAUCAGUGUUGGUAGUUACAGGGUACACUGGUACCAGCAGAAGCCAGGGAGCCCUCCCCGCUAUCUCCUGUACUACCACACAGACUCAGACAAGCACCAGGGCUCCAGGGUCCCCAGCUGCUUCUCUGGAUCCAAGGGUACCUCAGCCAAUGCAGGUGUUCUGCACAUCUCUGGGCUGCAGAUUGAGGAUGAGGCCAACUAUUAUUGUAUGAUUGGAUACAAUACUGCUCACAGUGACACAGGCAAACAGGGAAGUGGGACAAAAACCUCAGGUCCUACAGGUCAUAGCCUGUGA